GGCGAACGGGUGAGUAACGCGUUGGUGACCUGCCCUGAAACGCGGGAUAACAGUUCGAAAGGACUGCUAAUACCGCAUGAGGUCAUUGAGGUUAGAGGCUUGAUGACGAAAGGAGCAAUCCGUUUCAGGAGGGACCUGCGUCCCAUCAGCUAGUUGGUGAGGUAACGGCCCACCAAGGCGAAGACGGGUAGGGGGCCUGAGAGGGUGACCCCCCACACUGGCACUGAAACACGGGCCAGACACCUACGGGUGGCAGCAGUAGGGAAUAUUGCACAAUGGGCGCAAGCCUGAUGCAGCAACGCCGCGUGAACGAUGAAGGCCUUCGGGUCGUAAAGUUCUUUUUGAGGAGACGAGGAAGGACGGUAUCCUCAGAAUAAGGAUCGGCUAACUACGUGCCAGCAGCCGCGGUAAAACGUAAGAUCCGAGCGUUAUCCGAAUUCACUGGGCGUAAAGCGCGUGCAGGCGGUUUGGUAAGUUGGAUGUGAAAGCUCCUGGCUCAACUGGGAGAGGCCGUUCAAAACUACCAGACUUGAGGACGGUAGAGGGAGGUGGAAUUCCCGGUGUAGUAGUGAAAUGCGUAGAUAUCGGGAGGAACACCAGUGGCGAAAGCGGCCUCCUGGACCGUUCCUGACGCUUAGACGCGAAAGCUAGGGGAGCGAACGGGAUUAGAAACCCCGGUAGUCCUAGCUGUAAACGAUGUAGACUGGGUGUCGGUGGGGUAAAAGCCAUCGGUACCGAAGCCAACGCGAUAAGUCUACCGCCUGGGGACUACGGCCCGCAAGG
Molecule: ribosomal RNA, 783 nt
Filed under: uncultured bacterium
Lineage: Bacteria
Description: bacterial SSU rRNA
Rfam family: Bacterial small subunit ribosomal RNA
Source: RNAcentral